UGUCUCCGUCCCGAGGUAGGGAGGUGCGACACGGGGCGGAGAGUCCACCCUCUCUCCGUCCCCCGAGGUAGGGAACCAUCAUAUGGCCUCGACGCGCUCUUCAUUUGGUUCUCUGUGGCGACGUCGUUGGCAGCGAAGGUGGCUCUCACACGGUGCCGUCGCCCAUCUCCCUUCCUUCAAGCAGACGAUGCCACGUCUUAUAUGGUCCAAUAUCCCCCCUCGCCACCGUCCCAUAACCAGUCGCACUCCGCCACAUUCCCACUUGUGCUCCGAUAUUUCUGCGUCUCCCAAUUAUUGGGGGCCAAUCCAAUCCAUUGCCAUCAUAUUUAGAUGGAUCGGAUAAGGUUAGAUGGACGUAUCUGUUUGCGUGGAGGGAGUUGAAUACGGUUCCCAGGCGUGUGAGUUACGCCGCCAUCGGUCGCGCUUCACCUGAGUUCUUCUCUGCUACGGUCGGUUUCGCUGUCGAAGUUGCCAUCGGCCACUCGCGACCUUGGUUGCGUCGAUCAGCUGUUCGAUGUAAUGCCACAAUUAGCAAGUGGUGCUUUCGGUUUGGUUGGUCCUGCUGGGAAGGAAUUUACUAGCGUCGGAUCAAUGAAGGGGUGGGAAGUGCGGUCAGAGACGGCUGAGGUUUCGCGUCGCCAUUGGUGGGGGUGGGGGUGGGGGUGGGGGUUGGAUGAGACGCGGGCAGCUGCUGCCAAUGAUUGAAGCCCGGCAUUGCUGCUGAUGUUUCUUUUGAUGAUGGCUUCAUGUGCAUUUGGAGAUUCUUGUCGACUGCUUGUUCAUAUGGUUCCAUCAGAACGAGCGACAUGGUUCGAAUGCAGUGAUGUCUGCUGGAUUGGCUGCAGCAAAGGCAAGCAGUAGACCCACCCCGCUUGCGAUUGCAGUUCAUUUUGGCAGUGACAUGCGAAAGCCAUCCCAUUUACGAACUUGUCCGGUUAGUGGGUGCACCCUCCAUGUGAUGAGAGUCCUUCUCUGCUCUCCCACCACAGGUACCUCUCUCUCCUCUUCUAUCUUUAGUGAGUCGAGAUUUGAUCGUUGGAUAUAUAAUGAUAACGGUUAGUUAGAAUUUA
Musa acuminata AAA Group (dessert banana) is the source of this 1070-nucleotide long non-coding RNA. RefSeq lists it as uncharacterized. The record is from RefSeq and is a predicted model, not a curated record. Lineage: Eukaryota; Viridiplantae; Streptophyta; Magnoliopsida; Zingiberales; Musaceae. The transcript is spliced from 2 exons.